RNAcentral lists this ribosomal RNA (253 nucleotides) under uncultured bacterium. RNAcentral describes it as "partial 16S ribosomal RNA". It matches the Rfam family "Bacterial small subunit ribosomal RNA", at positions 524 to 776 of the family's 1533-position model. The record is from RNAcentral.
UACGGAAGGGGCAAGCGUUGUUCGGAAUCAUUGGGCGUAAAGGGCGCGUAGGUGGUCUUGUGUGUCUACUGUGAAAGCGUACGGCUCAACCGUAUUUAGUCGGUAGAAACUGCAGGACUUGAGGCUGGGAGGGGCUGGUGGAAUUCCCUGUGUAGCGGUGAAAUGCGUAGAGAUGGGGGAGAACACUCGUGGCGAAGGCGGCCAGCUAGACCAGUUCUGACACUGAGGCGCGAUAGCGUGGGGAGCAAACAGG